AUGGGGAUUAAUGGGAAUGUAUCCUCUACGAAUUUCUUCCUCACCAGCCUGGUCCAUGGGAUAGGCAUCCAGCCCGAGACUGGAGACUCUCAUGGGCCAUACCCGGAGGGAGUCUAUGGUGCGCACCUUCCUACGACUUCCAUAUGCCCCAGUGGAAAUAGAGCAGCAGUGGGGCUCUACGUAACCCUAAUGAUAUCAGCCUCACCAGGUCGCAUUUCCUCUGGGAUUGCUCCUGACUACGCUGUCUUCGUGCCAGUGCGGGCUGUUGCAUGGCCGACCUUCACGGGACCGCAGGGCAUCCGCAGCGAGGAGGAACCCGCUCCUUCCCCCCUGACUUCACUCAGCUGGAAAACUACGAGGUGCCAUUUGUCUCACACAGUGUCCCAGGGCAAUGGACCCUGGCGUGCCCAGCGCCCGGCAUCUCCAUCAGAUGCAGCUUUGAUGGUGUACCAUCUUCAUGGUGAGGCCUUGUCCACAGCCACGGACUUUCAGGCGGGAUUUGCUGCUCAGCUGAUGACCUUUCUCUGGCUCUCAGAGAAGGCACGGAGAGGUCUGCUAGAGCCCAGGAUGGCAGGAAAGCUUUGUUCCUGCCACGGAAAAGGUUGUGCAGAAGAAAUCUCUCAGUCCUGAUAGAGCCAGAGGUAAUUAUAGUUUCUUUUUCUUCGAUUCAUGAAUCGAUAAGGCAAAUAUUAAGAACAUUUUUGCAUUUUUUCCCUCCUCCUCUUUUAUUAAGUGAAACUCUGCCUUUACAGCUUGGGGAUGUUCUCCUGAAAAAGUAAAGAUGGAUGGCCUUCCCUGAUAAGCUUUCCUAGCAAUCAGACAGGCAUUCUUUCCCUGCACCUGGAGAUCAUGAUNNNNNNNNNNNNNNNNNNNNNGCCCGUGGGUCGCUGAGAUGACGUUGCAUAUGCCGUACCUUGAGCUGAACUUAAUUUAAGCAAGCUAGCACAAAACAAGGGCGACUUCUGCGCAGGUCUUUUUCUUAGAUAUACUUACUAAAGGGUUUGCAGUUUUCAGAAAAAGAGGGAUGCAUGUGGGGGAAUGUCAUUCAUCUUUGAAUUAGACUUGAUGUUUACGAUAUGUACAGCCUUUUUCAUAAUUCUCAAGGUAUGGACUACAGGAAGCUUAUUAACUGAACAGUAUUGGAAACGGUAGCUUUUUAUGCUGACGGAAUCCUUUUUGAACUUCUGUGUUUAAGCCAAACUGAAGUUUUACUUUAAUCUAUGUGCCUAUGCAUUUCUUGCCGGCAGUUUUCAGAUCUCUCAGUUGUCGAAAAAUUGCCUACUAUGCUUCAGAGAGUUUUGGUAUAAUGACCCACAUUAUUAUCCACUUCACCAACAGUGGGCUCUUGAACACAUAAUUUAAAAACUCCAGUAACACUGUUAGAGUGUAAACACCAGCCUUAUUGAUUUGAAAAAUUCUUUUUUCUGAAAUCGGACUUUUUUUUUUUUUAAAGACCAUGCUAAAGCAGAAAGAAGUUUAAAGGCUCUUGUGAGUUUUUCACUCACACUUCCCUAUAGCUUGUAAUAGCUCUCUUUCUUCCAAACCCUGAAAUCCACAGAAGAGAGCAGAAAUACUUGUUAUUGACCUGAAUUAGGAUAAAAGGAAGAGAGAAGAUAAGAUCAUAGCCGUCGGCACUUUGUUUAUGAAAACAUCAUUUUAACGAUGUGCUUGAAUCAGGCAAAAGUAAUGCGCCUCCCUCCUCUUCCAGCAUAUUUGAAAUGCCAGCCUGAUCGGACCUAGAGAGCAAUGCCCAGAAUUAGGGCAUUACCUUUCCUGUAUGCUGGUGUUGUGCAGGAUGGCAUCAUUUAAUCGUGAUGGUUUUUCUUCAUUAUUUUAGAAAUACUCACGAUAAUAAAAUAAAAAUAUACAGAUGUAUACCUAUAAGA
Ursus maritimus (polar bear) is the source of this 1886-nucleotide long non-coding RNA. The record is from Ensembl. Lineage: Eukaryota; Metazoa; Chordata; Mammalia; Carnivora; Ursidae.